GGGUUAGUAGGUUGGUCAUGCCUCUGGUAUGUACUGGUCUCACUGAUUCCUCCUUCCUGAUGAGCCGUAAUGCCAUUAAUUUGGUGUUUUGGGGAAUUUGGACUGUUACUUUGAAAAAAUUAGAGUGUUUAAAACAGGCAUUUUGCUUGAAUACAUUAGCAUGGAAUAAUGAAAUAGGACGUUCGAUCCUAUUUUGUUGGUUUCUAGGAUUGACGUA
This 217-nucleotide ribosomal RNA is filed under the name Campeiostachys nutans. RNAcentral describes it as "Elymus nutans partial small subunit ribosomal RNA". The stretch from base 40 to 217 matches the Rfam family "Eukaryotic small subunit ribosomal RNA", at positions 686 to 864 of the family's 1831-position model. The record is from RNAcentral. Lineage: Eukaryota; Viridiplantae; Streptophyta; Magnoliopsida; Poales; Poaceae.